GGUUAAGCGACUAAGCGUACACGGUGGAUGCCCUGGCAGUCAGAGGCGAUGAAGGACGUGCUAAUCUGCGAUAAGCGUCGGUAAGGUGAUAUGAACCGUUAUAACCGGCGAUUUCCGAAUGGGGAAACCCAGUGUGUUUCGACACACUAUCAUUAACUGAAUCCAUAGGUUAAUGAGGCGAACCGGGGGAACUGAAACAUCUAAGUACCCCGAGGAAAAGAAAUCAACCGAGAUUCCCCCAGUAGCGGCGAGCGAACGGGGAGGAGCCCAGAGCCUGAAUCAGUGUGUGUGUUAGUGGAAGCGUCUGGAAAGGCGCGCGAUACAGGGUGACAGCCCCGUACACAAAAAUGCACAUGCUGUGAGCUCGAUGAGUAGGGCGGGACACGUGGUAUCCUGUCUGAAUAUGGGGGGACCAUCCUCCAAGGCUAAAUACUCCUGACUGACCGAUAGUGAACCAGUACCGUGAGGGAAAGGCGAAAAGAACCCCGGCGAGGGGAGUGAAAAAGAACCUGAAACCGUGUACGUACAAGCAGUGGGAGCACGCUUAGGCGUGUGACUGCGUACCUUUUGUAUAAUGGGUCAGCGACUUAUAUUCUGUAGCAAGGUUAACCGAAUAGGGGAGCCGAAGGGAAACCGAGUCUUAACUGGGCGUUAAGUUGCAGGGUAUAGACCCGAAACCCGGUGAUCUAGCCAUGGGCAGGUUGAAGGUUGGGUAACACUAACUGGAGGACCGAACCGACUAAUGUUGAAAAAUUAGCGGAUGACUUGUGGCUGGGGGUGAAAGGCCAAUCAAACCGGGAGAUAGCUGGUUCUCCCCGAAAGCUAUUUAGGUAGCGCCUCGUGAAUUCAUCUCCGGGGGUAGAGCACUGUUUCGGCAAGGGGGUCAUCCCGACUUACCAACCCGAUGCAAACUGCGAAUACCGGAGAAUGUUAUCACGGGAGACACACGGCGGGUGCUAACGUCCGUCGUGAAGAGGGAAACAACCCAGACCGCCAGCUAAGGUCCCAAAGUCAUGGUUAAGUGGGAAACGAUGUGGGAAGGCCCAGACAGCCAGGAUGUUGGCUUAGAAGCAGCCAUCAUUUAAAGAAAGCGUAAUAGCUCACUGGUCGAGUCGGCCUGCGCGGAAGAUGUAACGGGGCUAAACCAUGCACCGAAGCUGCGGCAGCGACGCUUAUGCGUUGUUGGGUAGGGGAGCGUUCUGUAAGCCUGCGAAGGUGUGCUGUGAGGCACGCUGGAGGUAUCAGAAGUGCGAAUGCUGACAUAAGUAACGAUAAAGCGGGUGAAAAGCCCGCUCGCCGGAAGACCAAGGGUUCCUGUCCAACGUUAAUCGGGGCAGGGUGAGUCGACCCCUAAGGCGAGGCCGAAAGGCGUAGUCGAUGGGAAACAGGUUAAUAUUCCUGUACUUGGUGUUACUGCGAAGGGGGGACGGAGAAGGCUAUGUUGGCCGGGCGACGGUUGUCCCGGUUUAAGCGUGUAGGCUGGUUUUCCAGGCAAAUCCGGAAAAUCAAGGCUGAGGCGUGAUGACGAGGCACUACGGUGCUGAAGCAACAAAUGCCCUGCUUCCAGGAAAAGCCUCUAAGCAUCAGGUAACAUCAAAUCGUACCCCAAACCGACACAGGUGGUCAGGUAGAGAAUACCAAGGCGCUUGAGAGAACUCGGGUGAAGGAACUAGGCAAAAUGGUGCCGUAACUUCGGGAGAAGGCACGCUGAUAUGUAGGUGAAGUCCCUCGCGGAUGGAGCUGAAAUCAGUCGAAGAUACCAGCUGGCUGCAACUGUUUAUUAAAAACACAGCACUGUGCAAACACGAAAGUGGACGUAUACGGUGUGACGCCUGCCCGGUGCCGGAAGGUUAAUUGAUGGGGUUAGCGCAAGCGAAGCUCUUGAUCGAAGCCCCGGUAAACGGCGGCCGUAACUAUAACGGUCCUAAGGUAGCGAAAUUCCUUGUCGGGUAAGUUCCGACCUGCACGAAUGGCGUAAUGAUGGCCAGGCUGUCUCCACCCGAGACUCAGUGAAAUUGAACUCGCUGUGAAGAUGCAGUGUACCCGCGGCAAGACGGAAAGACCCCGUGAACCUUUACUAUAGCUUGACACUGAACAUUGAGCCUUGAUGUGUAGGAUAGGUGGGAGGCUUUGAAGUGUGGACGCCAGUCUGCAUGGAGCCGACCUUGAAAUACCACCCUUUAAUGUUUGAUGUUCUAACGUUGACCCGUGAUCCGGGUUGCGGACAGUGUCUGGUGGGUAGUUUGACUGGGGCGGUCUCCUCCUAAAGAGUAACGGAGGAGCACGAAGGUUGGCUAAUCCUGGUCGGACAUCAGGAGGUUAGUGCAAUGGCAUAAGCCAGCUUGACUGCGAGCGUGACGGCGCGAGCAGGUGCGAAAGCAGGUCAUAGUGAUCCGGUGGUUCUGAAUGGAAGGGCCAUCGCUCAACGGAUAAAAGGUACUCCGGGGAUAACAGGCUGAUACCGCCCAAGAGUUCAUAUCGACGGCGGUGUUUGGCACCUCGAUGUCGGCUCAUCACAUCCUGGGGCUGAAGUAGGUCCCAAGGGUAUGGCUGUUCGCCAUUUAAAGUGGUACGCGAGCUGGGUUUAGAACGUCGUGAGACAGUUCGGUCCCUAUCUGCCGUGGGCGCUGGAGAACUGAGGGGGGCUGCUCCUAGUACGAGAGGACCGGAGUGGACGCAUCACUGGUGUUCGGGUUGUCAUGCCAAUGGCACUGCCCGGUAGCUAAAUGCGGAAGAGAUAAGUGCUGAAAGCAUCUAAGCACGAAACUUGCCCCGAGAUGAGUUCUCCCUGACUCCUUGAGAGUCCUGAAGGAACGUUGAAGACGACGACGUUGAUAGGCCGGGUGUGUAAGCGCAGCGAUGCGUUGAGCUAACCGGUACUAAUGAACCGUGAGGCUUAACCUU
RNAcentral lists this ribosomal RNA (2904 nucleotides) under Escherichia coli. Its description in RNAcentral is "23S ribosomal RNA". It matches the Rfam family "Bacterial large subunit ribosomal RNA". The record is from RNAcentral. Lineage: Bacteria; Pseudomonadati; Pseudomonadota; Gammaproteobacteria; Enterobacterales; Enterobacteriaceae.